This is a long non-coding RNA of Drosophila gunungcola (fruit fly), 883 nucleotides long. RefSeq lists it as uncharacterized. Lineage: Eukaryota; Metazoa; Arthropoda; Insecta; Diptera; Drosophilidae. The record is from RefSeq and is a predicted model, not a curated record. The transcript is spliced from 2 exons.
GGCUACUAGUCUUUUGCGGGCAAACAGACAGCAACAAAUGCCAGACGGAAGCCCAAAAAGUGAAUCCCAAUCGGAGUCGGAGUUUGGGAUCUCGCGGGUGGCACUGAAAAAAGCAGCAAUGCAAUUUCAAGCUAUCCUUCAACUAUCCAUCAGGACCAGAGCGAAAUGAAAUUACAAAAUGUGUUGAAUGCUCGUAGCAUUCUUUUGUAGCAUUUUUGCAUGCCACCCACUCAGACUGACUGCCAACCGAAAAUCCCAUCCCAUUCCCCGCUAGCAUUGUGGCAUAAAUUGCUUAUUUAUUGUUUAAAAUGGUUUCUGGUUGCUAAACGACAUUUUCAGCGCUGCUGGCCAUUGUUGGACUGCGCUGUCUAAAAACAGGUGCCGAAAUACACGUGUUCGAGUAUCUCUCCAUCCGUGUAUCGCACAUGUUAAGCAGAUUUCGAAUGUCUACCUUGCUGUGUGAGUGUAAGUGUGAGUGUGAAUGCGGCAUUGUUCUAGUCAUACUAUAAAAUUCGGAUUGGAAAUUCGACGUUUGCCGGUUGGCUUUUGGUGGCACAGGAAACAAUUCGAGGGAAAUGGCAAAAAUUGAUGCUUGAUGAAGCAGUAAAUUAAUUUGGACAUUUUUCGAUCCAUUCAACUUCACAACUGUAUGCAAAAAUGCUGCUAAGUGGGAUGUGCCAUAAAAUGUCCGGCAAAUGAAUGUAUGGACAUUAAUUUGCAUAUUUUACGGGCCCGGUUACUCAAUGUUUAUUUUGUGCUUUUUACUGCAGUCUUAAUAUGAUUUAAUUUUGCAUGUAUAAAUGUUUAAAUAUAUUUCUGUUUUUAUAUUGAUUAAUUGGUUAGGAAUUUGCGGAAAAAUUAUAUAAAUCUAUCCCUUAAUAAA